Molecule: long non-coding RNA, 301 nt
Filed under: Ananas comosus (pineapple)
Lineage: Eukaryota; Viridiplantae; Streptophyta; Magnoliopsida; Poales; Bromeliaceae
Description: long non-coding RNA (ACOM_LNC004669)
Source: RNAcentral
AAAAGGGAAAAUAAAAAAAAAAAGCAAUGAUAUUAUUUAUAUCCACAAAAAGGAUAGAGAUUAGUAAAGUAUGUGUAAUAUAGAUUGAAGUAAUUACUUGUGUAGAAUCCACCAUGCAAUUGUUGUGAUUUAGAUGGAACGAAUUAUUUGUCUUAUAAGUUAUGUUAUUAGAGAAUAGUAUUUUUAAUAUUUUACAUGUUCAAGUAAAUAUAUUUUUUUUAAUAAUGGUCGCGUUAUCUAAAAUAAUAUGUCAAAAGUUAAACAUAAAAAAAAUCAUAUUUAACUUAAUUAAAUACUUCUC